GUGGGGAAUAUUGGACAAUGGGCGCAAGCCUGAUCCAGCCAUGCCGCGUGAGUGAUGAAGGCCUUCGGGUUGUAAAGCUCUUUAGCCGAUGAUUAUAAUGACUGUAGUCGGAAAAUAAGCCCCGGCUAACUUCGUGCCAGCAGCCGCGGUAAUACGAAGGGGGCGAGCGUUAUUCGGAAUCACUGGGCGUAAAGCGUGCGUAGGCGGCUUUGCAAGUUGGGAGUGAAAGCCCAGGGCUCAACCCUGGAAUUGCUCUCAAAACUGCAAGGCUCGAAUUCGGGAGAGGAUAGCGGAAUUGUCAGUGUAGCAGUGAAAUGCGUAGAUAUUGACAGGAACACCAGUGGCGUAAGCGGCUAUCUGGACCGAUAUUGACGCUGAGGCACGAAAGCGUGGGGAUCAAACAGGAUUAGAAACCCUUGUAGUCC
RNAcentral lists this ribosomal RNA (425 nucleotides) under uncultured bacterium. RNAcentral describes it as "bacterial SSU rRNA". It matches the Rfam family "Bacterial small subunit ribosomal RNA", at positions 354 to 796 of the family's 1533-position model. The record is from RNAcentral.